RNAcentral lists this transfer-messenger RNA (339 nucleotides) under Eubacterium sp. It matches the Rfam family "transfer-messenger RNA". From Rfam's summary of the family: Bacterial tmRNA, also known as 10Sa RNA or SsrA, is named for its dual tRNA and mRNA-like properties. Its role is to liberate the mRNA from a stalled ribosome. To accomplish this part of the tmRNA is used as a reading frame that ends in a translation stop signal. Lineage: Bacteria; Bacillati; Bacillota; Clostridia; Eubacteriales; Eubacteriaceae. RNAcentral also lists the same sequence under 2 other names. The record is from RNAcentral.
GGGCCAGUAAAGGUUUCGACAGGGAUCAUAAAGCUGGAGAAGCGAGCCGCACGGAAUGCGUCAAAUGCCAAACUUAAAUUAAACGCUAACGAUAAUUUAGCAUACGCUGCCUAGUUGCAGCAGUCCGCCCCGGGGCACCUGCACCUUGGGAACCGGGCUUCGACGAUGCAGGAAACGACACAUAUUAAGCUUUGCGUAUGUGGGCGUACCAUGAAGCUACUAAAGCAGGGAUUGUGUUUAUUCAAGCCUUGUAGAGGGAAUGUCAAAAAAUAAACUACGCUCGUAGAAGGACAGGGGAGUGGUUUUUGGACACGGGUUCGAUUCCCGUCUGGUCCAUUA